AACCUCUGCAAUGCCUGAAAGGGUGACAGGGGGACGCCGAGUGCUCACGCUCUCGCGUGGGCUUUUGCCGAUGGUAAGCACAUCGGCGAAUAAGGGGUGGGCAAGACCGGUGCCAGCCGCCGCGGUAACACCGGCGCCCCGAGUGGGGACCGCUCUUAUUGGGCCUAAAGCAUCCGUAGCCGGCCCGGUAAAUCUUCUGUGAAAUCGGCCAGCUCAACUGGUCGGCGUGCAGAAGACACUGCCGGGCUAGGGACCGGGAGACGCUGGAGGUAUUCCCUGGGUACCGGUAAAAUGGGAUAAUCCAGGGAGGACCACCUGUGGCGAAGGCGUCCAGCGGGA
Molecule: ribosomal RNA, 339 nt
Filed under: uncultured archaeon
Lineage: Archaea
Description: bacterial SSU rRNA
Rfam family: Archaeal small subunit ribosomal RNA
Source: RNAcentral